GCCUGAUCAUGUCCGAAAUCAUCCUCAGCCAUUCGAUCAUGAAUGACUCACUCCAGAGCCAUCGGAUCGUACAAAAAUGUUAGUGGACUAUGCGUGGACUGUGUGAUCGAUCCACGCAGCCUCCAUGGACUGCCCAGCACCCUAGGUCCACGAUGGAUCGUGUAGGGCACUGGGCCUAGGCGCCCAUAUUGGGCCGGCCCACACACUGGGCUACACGCGUCUGCAUGCACACAUGCAUCUAUCAGGCCCGACUGCACCACCAUCGGCCUCUACUGCCUUGUGCAUCGUGCCACCUGCUCCGAGCUUCUUUCACGUGUAUCUUUGCUGUAUAGAUUUUAUUUGGGUUGUUCUUGGACUCGUUGGACUUCGUUCGUCGUUCUAGACCUUAUUGUGAGCUCAAUAUGGAUCAAAUCUUGAGGUAUCAAAUCUCAACAAUCUCCAUCUCUACUUGAUAUUUGAACCCUACCUAUCUCUGAGAGCCUGUGAUCCGUCUCACCCCCACGCCCUAAGGUAUGCCUGCUAUCUCAUGGAUGGACAAACAUGGAAGUCGAGCCAAGCCGCUCGAUCCCACCUCAAUCAUGGGCUAUGUCUACUCUGACCAAAGAUCUGCUCGAAGAAGCCUCCUAUGGUAAUAGAAACUUUACUCUGUGACAUCGUCUCUCAUCCUCUCGAGUCUCCCAUCUAGUAUCCGAUCCACCUCCACCUGGAGCUCCACCUUGCUCUAGGCUCCUCCUGGCUCCUGAAGCUCCACCUCGCACUAGGCUCCCUACCAAGUAGUAAUAUCCUCUCGUCCUCUUCUUCUCCUCUAGAAUAAUCCUAUUGUUGUGCAAUACCGUUAAGAUUUUUCUACCAGCUAUUGUCCUAUAGCCUCACGAAUCCAGUCUGUUCAGUGAGAUAAGAUUCCGUCUGAAAUCGGAUAUAUAUCGGAUCUCUCUCAAUCUCCUCACUACAUCAUCAUGUGUCCUCCAGCUGACCGUCCCGAUGCCUCUGAUCGCACAGCUUGAUCCAUCCAGUAGAUAAAUAGUUCCCCCACAACUCUCUAGAGAGUCAAACUACUCCUCUUUGCAAUAUACAUGAUAGGUGCAUGCAGAAUCUAAAAUUUAUUACUGAAAAGAAGUAGAUAUCUCAUCAGAUAUCUCCAGGAUAUCAUCCUCUGACUCGCUAUUGGCUGUCACUAUAGUAGCCCUCGUCUGAUCCCUGAGUUAAGGGCAAUCUCUGGCUAGAUGCCCCAACUCAUCACAUCGAUAACAUCUGGUCUUGCUCAAGUCUCUCAUCCUGGACUUGGACCAUCCUCGUCGUGAUCCCCUAUCGCUUUGUCUGCCACCUCCUACUCCUUCAAAAAUCACCAAAGCUGAGCUGCCGCCUGAGCUCGAAGCUGGAUUCUCCCUCUUGAGAACCUCAUUCUGGAGAAUCACCAUGGUGA
RNAcentral lists this long non-coding RNA (1423 nucleotides) under Elaeis guineensis (African oil palm). Its description in RNAcentral is "long non-coding RNA (EGUI_LNC048144)". The record is from RNAcentral. Lineage: Eukaryota; Viridiplantae; Streptophyta; Magnoliopsida; Arecales; Arecaceae.